UACGUAGGAUGCAAGCGUUGUUCGGAAUUACUGGGCGUAAAGAGUACGUAGGCGGUCUGGCAAGUCUGAUAUUAAAGACUGGAGCUUAACUUCAGGACUGUAUCGGAAACUGCCAAACUAGAGGACUAUAGAGGAAGUCGGAAUUCUCAGUGUAGCGGUGAAAUGCGUAGAUAUUGGGAAGAACACCAGUGACGAAAGCGGACUUCUGGGUAGUUACUGACGCUGAGGUACGAAAGCGUGGGGAGCAAACGGG
This 253-nucleotide ribosomal RNA is filed under the name uncultured bacterium. RNAcentral's name for it is "partial 16S ribosomal RNA". It matches the Rfam family "Bacterial small subunit ribosomal RNA", at positions 524 to 776 of the family's 1533-position model. The record is from RNAcentral.